AACGAACGCUGGCGGCAUGCCUAACACAUGCAAGUCGAACGAGACCUUCGGGUCUAGUGGCGCACGGGUGCGUAACGCGUGGGAAUCUGCCCUUCGGUUGGGAAUAACUGAGAGAAAUUUCAGCUAAUACCUUAUAAUGUCUUAGGACCAAAGAUUUAUCGCCGAGGGAUGAGCCCGCGUAGGAUUAGGUAGUUGGUGGGGUAAUGGCCUACCAAGCCGACGAUCCUUAGCUGGUCUGAGAGGAUGAUCAGCCACACUGGGACUGAGACACGGCCCAGACUCCUACGGGAGGCAGCAGUGGGGAAUAUUGGACAAUGGGCGAAAGCCUGAUCCAGCAAUGCCGCGUGAGUGAUGAAGGCCUUAGGGUUGUAAAGCUCUUUUACCCGGGAUGAUAAUGACAGUACCGGGAGAAUAAGCUCCGGCUAACUCCGUG
RNAcentral lists this ribosomal RNA (433 nucleotides) under uncultured bacterium. RNAcentral describes it as "partial 16S ribosomal RNA". It matches the Rfam family "Bacterial small subunit ribosomal RNA", at positions 29 to 507 of the family's 1533-position model. The record is from RNAcentral.